Molecule: ribosomal RNA, 407 nt
Filed under: uncultured bacterium
Lineage: Bacteria
Description: partial 16S ribosomal RNA
Rfam family: Bacterial small subunit ribosomal RNA
Source: RNAcentral
GACGAACGCUGGCGGCGUGCCUAAUACAUGCAAGUCGAACGCAGUUGCGAACGGGUGAGUAACGCGUAGGUAACUACCUAUUUGAGGGGGAUAACUAUUGGCAACGAUAGCUAAUACCGCAUACUCGUAGAUGGACCUUCGUUGUAUUAGGUAGUAGGUAGGGUAAUGGCCUACCUAGGCAACGAUACAUAGCCGACCUUGGAGGGUGGACGGGCAAAACGGGACGGGGACAAGGGCCAGACCUCGAAGGGAGGCAGCAGGAGGGAAUCUUCGGCAAGGGGGGGAACCCUGACCGAGCAACGCCGGGGGAGUGAAGAAGGGUUUCGGAUCGUAAAGCUCUGUUGUUAAGGAAGCGGUACUUAAACAGAAAGGGACGGCUAACUACGUGCCAGCCGCCGCGGUAAUAC